AUGAAGCUCAGAUCAGGCAUUUUUACCGUGGCCAUGCUCGCCAUUGCCGUGCUCUCCUCCCCAGCAUUCGCACAGAAGACGAAGAGCCCCCCUGCUCCGCCGGCAGCCGUCCUCCCACCGUCCCCAGCACCAGCACCAGCGCCGCGCCACGUGGACCUCGCGGACCUCCUGAGCGUGGCCGGCCCGUUCCACACCUUCCUGGACUACCUCCAGAAGACCAACGUCCUGGAGACUUUCCAGAGCAAGGCGAACGACACCAAGGAGGGGAUCACCAUGUUCGUGCCCAAGGACUCGGCGUUCGCGGCGCUGAGGACGACGACGUUCGCCAACCUCACCAGCGACCAGCUCAAGUCGCUGAUGCUGUACCACGCGCUGCCCAAGUACUACUCGCUGGCCGAGUUCAACAAGCUGAGCAGCCUCAACCCGGUGGCCACCUUCGCGGGGUCGCAGUACACGCUCAACCUCACCGACAACAUGGGCAGCAUCCGGAUCAAGUCCAUGUGGUCCAACCCCAAGAUCAGCAGCAGCGUCUACUCCACCCGCCCGGUCGCCGUCUACGAGGUCGACAAGGUGCUGCUGCCGAUGCAGAUCUUCAAGAGCGACCCGCCGCUGGCCCCUGCCCCCGCGCCCGCCCCCGCCGACGCCAAGACCUCUGAUGACGCGCCUAGCCCGGCGUCGGGGAAGUCAGCGAGCGCGAAGGCCAAGGCGGGGUCCAAGAGCGCGUCGCCCCGCGCCGGCGUCAGUGUGGCCAGUUACCUGGCGGUGGCUGUCUCCGGUGGCCUGAUGAUGCUCUUGUGA
RNAcentral lists this ribosomal RNA (798 nucleotides) under Triticum aestivum (bread wheat). RNAcentral describes it as "partial small subunit ribosomal RNA". The record is from RNAcentral. Lineage: Eukaryota; Viridiplantae; Streptophyta; Magnoliopsida; Poales; Poaceae.